This is a long non-coding RNA of Branchiostoma floridae (Florida lancelet), 1392 nucleotides long. RefSeq lists it as uncharacterized. The record is from RefSeq and is a predicted model, not a curated record. NCBI's taxonomy places the organism in Eukaryota, Metazoa, Chordata, Leptocardii, Amphioxiformes, Branchiostomatidae. The transcript is spliced from 3 exons.
UUACAUACACUCCAGAUAUUUAGGUGUUCAAGACAGCCUUGAGAAUGCCUCUAUAACAGUGAUGUGGCGGUAUUUAAGGUGAAUGGGAGUUUCGGAUCAGGUCAGUCUGGCUAAUGUUAUGGCUUUUUUUUUUCAACAGGCAAUGGCACGUUAGUGUACAAGAAGAAGAUUAAUGAUCAAAAGCAAAAAAAAGAGAUUCUGGUGAAGGUGCUUAAAGCUGGCCAAACUGAGGAGGUGUUUCACCAGUUUCACACUGAUGAAACUGGUGGACACAAUGGCCAGGCUAAAACAUUACAUGCCAUUGCAGUCCGAUUCUACUGGCCCAAUCAGUCAGUGCACAUCAAGAAAUGGGUCAGCGAAUGUAAAGGGUGUCAACUAGAAGAUGCCUAGUGGUGUGGAAAACUUGCAACCCAUUAAGUUCCAGAGCAAGCUGCUAGUGUCAAAACUAUCUGUGGGUUUUGCGUAUGGUGACCACCUGUUGUUGCCGCCAUGAUACCGUGGUCCGUCCGUGCCAUGUUCGCUAUGCAGUGUGUCUCUUGUAUGUAUAUGAUGUGUAGCCAACCUACUUUUCUACUAUAUGAUAUCAGGAAAUUCUACACAAAUCUAGAGCUCUCAUGUGUAUUGACUGUCUUAGUUCAUGUCUAUGUACUUGCUACUCAGAAGUGAGUCUAGUUCAACACACUUUGAUGUUAGAUUCUGUCAAUAACGAGGCACUUGUAACUGUUUGCUUUCUUAUCUUUUUGACAAACUAAUGUUUCCUGUCAGUUGAACCAUUUUUUGCAAUAUUGGCUGUUUUAGAAUUGUAUGUAAGUUGUAUGAGACUUUGGGACGGAAUCAAAAGAAUAGUUGAAUUCUAAUUUCCUAUCCAUUUUCGAUUUUGCAAAUGACUGAUUGUAGCUGACAAUGUGAGAUUCUGAGUAAGAAUUGAAGGUUACGGAGGUAAACAGCUUAAAAUCUUGUAAUCUAUUUAAACCCAGGAUAUGUGUAGCUUGAAAUAAUUUGUUAACUUUGAGAACUGUAAAAAUCAGGAAAUUUCCACCAUUGAAAGUGUGUUUAGCCAGAAGCGUUUGCAGCUGCAAGUGGAAAUGUGUCACCCAAAAUUCUGAAGUGAAAUUGUGUCAUAAGGCAACAAAUUAAAGUGUGUUACUUUGCUUUUUCUCUUACCGGUUCAAGUCUUAAAACAAUUUACGGCAAGUUUUUCUGUCAUACCGUAGUUGUCCCUCAGACUGACUUAACCCUUUGUCAUCUACCCCCACUUCUGACAGUGUCAGUGCGGUAUAGGGACACCCAUUGUGUACCAAGGGUUAAACUGUAUUCUGCCAAAUUUGCAGUGUUUUCAAACUGGUGCAUAUUUCAGGGAACGGAACAGAAACAGCCAACUUUGUUAGUUCA